RNAcentral lists this long non-coding RNA (2425 nucleotides) under Dromaius novaehollandiae (emu). RNAcentral describes it as "lncRNA (ENSDNVG00000004020.1)". Lineage: Eukaryota; Metazoa; Chordata; Aves; Casuariiformes; Dromaiidae. The record is from RNAcentral.
GGGUGGGGGAGGACCGGGAAGGAGAGGGCGCCCUGCUCUGCCCUUGGGCUGCGCCUCUGUGAGCCAGAGCACGGGAGAGGCAGGAAUUCCCUCUCCUGCCACCACCAUAAAAUGCGGGAAUGUUUCUGGAUGGCUGCGAGGAGUCCUGCCUGGCCCUCAGGAGUCACCCUUUGUACGGCCCCCCGGCUCAUCACGCUCCCCGCCGGCGCGGGCAGCCCCGACGCACGGGAAUGCCCCUGCGGGGCCGCGCAGCUCCUUAAGUAGCAGCGUGCGGCAGCGGCCCCGGCCCGCGUUCUGCUGUCUUCCCGGGACUCCUGCGGCGGGCGUGACGCCAGCCAUGCCGAAGGCAGCCCCGCUCCUCCUAGCCUUGCUGGCCCCGCUGCUGGCCUUCCCCACCAGAGCACCAGAUUUCACCAGAUCUUAUACAGAGAAAGCAGCAGCAAAGAUAGUUGAUGUCAGCUCUUCUGUGAAAGAAACGACUACAGAAAAGAGGGCUUUCCUGGGUAUCACUGCCUUUAUCAAUGAAGACUUCACCAUAAAGACAACACGUGGAAUGAGCAUCAGUGGAAGCAGAGGCAGGAGUGAAUACAGUGAGCCCAGCAUCAUCUCCACAGAGCAAUAUAUGUUCAACAGAACACCCUUAUUGUCUUUUGUAAAAUGGGUUUCAGUUCACUUCCAAAAGGAAAACAUUAACAUCCAUAAAUCUCAAGCUGAGGAACAGCGCUUUGCCGCACACGGCCACACUGACUAAUUGGAGUCAGAAGCAGGGUCUGGUUCUUCAGAGCUUCAGCUCAGACAUCUGCUUGGGGAGCCAGAGCAAAGCCUGCACAGCACGAAACUGCACACUGCGGGAGGGCUGCACAGCUAUUUACUGACAGCAGCUCAGAGGUACAUGGGAGAGUACAGAUGGGAGAGUCUCCUGACCACAGACACUGGUGAAAGGGCCACCAUGACCUGGAGGAGGUGCCACAGCAAGAACAUCCCACUCAGCGCUCCUGGCCGAAUGCGCUGCCAUGUGUGCAGGAGCGAUGCACACAGCACACACACCAAGAGCUGCAGCACGCUUGGUGCCACCUCCCUGGGGCACCUACCGAUAAUUUUUCAGUUGAACUCCUGCAAGUCUCUACUGAGCACGUGCUAAAGACAUUUCUUCACAGCCUCAUUACUUAGUGGAAUUUGCUUUUGUAGAGUUUUUUUUUUUUUUUUUUUUUUUGGGGGGGGGGGGAUUUCUCUUCUCCCCCCAAGCAGGAACUAUAAAACACACACCUCUAUCACUGCUACACUUCAGCUUUCUGUUCAAAGGCACAGAGUCACUGAAAUUUAUAAGACUAAGUCCUAAAACAAAUUCAAAUGAGGGAAAACAAAGUAUUUUCCCCUCAUUUUCAGAACAUAUCUCAGUAUCUUCUGCUCAACUUUUCAAACAAAAAGUACAAAUUUUAGCCCAAACUAUCACAGUUUGGCCGGGUUAUAAGCAACUUAAAAUCUACAUGUUAGACUGGUAUUUGCACUACCUGCAAUGUUAGAAGAAAGUUGCUGAUGUACUAUGCACCAAUUAAUUGAGAGGCCUGAACGUAAUCUUUAGAAAUAGCUAAGAUACCUUUUUGUAAAAAUAAUGCAUUUUCUGCAAACUGUGUUCACUCUUCACUCCUCUAAACUUUACAAAAUAGUUAUUUACAACUUAGCUGAUAUAGCUGAUAUAGGAAGUGUUUGGAAAAUGUAGGGAUGUGGAAAUUAGUCUCCACAAACAAGAAGUAUAACUUUUAUUACCCAAGCUGGCAGAUUAAUUUAUUCCAAUAUAAUUUUUGAAAAGAGAUGGAAUAUUGAAGAAAAGGAAAUGUGUUAUCAAUUGUCAACAAGGGAAGGAAAAUGAGAUGGGAAAUGACCACCUUAUGUUGGUGCAAGGCAGGGGUGGGAGGGCACCACCUCAGGCAGGGAUGGAUACACAAAUACAAUGCACACAGGGAUCGUUAGAAGGCAUUUAUUACCUCUGUGUCUAUGCGGGGGUUCCCCAGUGUUAUCCCGAUCGAGGCAAUAAGAAGACAGGAGAAUCCCUGGCACCGCUGAGCGUAGGUCCAUGGCGAGGAACCUGGGCAGGGGGAACUAAUAGGUUUUUAUGCAACAGGCACAUGCGCAAUAAGCAGAAUUACAUUAUGAUCGUGAAAUGGUUGUUUGAUAAUAUAGCCACUAAAGCAUGCCAAGCUUGGGGUUGUAACAGAUAAGAUGUGCAGGACAGUUUACACUGUUUCUUUUCCCUCCUGGGACAGUCUGGCUAGUUCCCAUCGCCUAUCUCCUUGACAUUCUUCCGCAUUACUCUAUACACCUUAUAAUCCUUGUAUUUUUCAUUAUUAAAAUAACUGAAAAAAUGUUGAGGAAAAUAUUGCCAAAUUUCUACAAAAGAAUGAAAUAAAGUAUAGUACAUUCCCCA